Molecule: ribosomal RNA, 669 nt
Filed under: Acinetobacter nosocomialis
Lineage: Bacteria; Pseudomonadati; Pseudomonadota; Gammaproteobacteria; Moraxellales; Moraxellaceae
Description: bacterial LSU rRNA
Rfam family: Bacterial large subunit ribosomal RNA
Source: RNAcentral
CUUCGUGGUGUGACUGCGUACCUUUUGUAUAAUGGGUCAGCGACUUAUAUUCAGUAGCGAGGUUAACCGUAUAGGGGAGCCGUAGAGAAAUCGAGUCUUAAUAGGGCGUUUAGUUGCUGGGUAUAGACCCGAAACCAGGCGAUCUAUCCAUGAGCAGGUUGAAGGUUGGGUAACACUAACUGGAGGACCGAACCCACUGUCGUUGAAAAGCCAGGGGAUGACUUGUGGAUAGGGGUGAAAGGCUAAUCAAGCCUGGUGAUAGCUGGUUCUCCCCGAAAGCUAUUUAGGUAGCGCCUCGGACGAAUACCAUAGGGGGUAGAGCACUGUUUCGGCUAGGGGGUCAUCCCGACUUACCAAACCGAUGCAAACUCCGAAUACCUAUGAGUACUAUCCGGGAGACAGACUGCGGGUGCUAACGUCCGUAGUCAAGAGGAAAACAAUCCAGACCGCCAGCUAAGGCCCCAAAAUCAUAGUUAAGUGGGAAACGAUGUGGGAAGGCAUAGACAGCUAGGAGGUUGGCUUAGAAGCAGCCACCCUUUAAAGAAAGCGUAAUAGCUCACUAGUCGAGUCGGCCUGCGCGGAAGAUGUAACGGGGCUAAAACUAUGUGCCGAAGCUGCGGAUUUGACAUUAGUCAAGUGGUAGGGGAGCGUUCUGUAAGCCGAUGAAGG